This is a long non-coding RNA of Siniperca chuatsi (mandarin fish), 2158 nucleotides long. RefSeq lists it as uncharacterized. The transcript is spliced from 2 exons. Lineage: Eukaryota; Metazoa; Chordata; Actinopteri; Centrarchiformes; Sinipercidae. The record is from RefSeq and is a predicted model, not a curated record.
UCAGAACCUAAGAGAGAAAGGAGUUAAAGUUUAAUGUUAAUAUAUAUCAUAGAUUGACCGAUAAAUUGUCAAUAUUUUCAGCAGAAAUAAUAAUAAUAAUAAUGAUAAAGGGACAGAUUACUAUAAUAUACAGAAGUCCGUUCAUGUUAAAGGAGGCAUUUAAAGGAGGAAUAAGGUUAGGGCAUGCAGGUGUUCACUCCACGCUAUAUUUAAUGGAGAAAAGCUAAUCAAAUUUAUGUCAGUGGUGUAACACUCUGGAAGAUGUUGAACACAUUAUCAUACAUUGUAGGAAACAUUAUUUAGAAAGAGAGAUAUUAAGAAAUAUAGUACAUAAGACAGGUCAGAAGCUUAAAAUCACUACUGAGCACAGGACAGGACUUCAGCGAAAUCAGAAGGGGGUUGUCUGGCUAUAUAAUGCAGGCAGGAUGCGACCUUUCACUUUUUAUUUUUUGUUUUUCUUUAGAACAAAUGGUUUCAGAUUAUAUAAUGGCAUGAAUCUACACAUUCCGACACAGUAGGUGGCGGUAUGCACCUAUAAAGUUGGUCCGCCAACAGUCACACAGAAGAAGAAAUCCAAGAUGGCGCCGUGCUACGAGGAAGUGGUGAGACCGUCCUUUCUGAGCAUGCAGACGGAGUGCAUGCAGGAAUGCUGAGAGUCCCUCCAUAACCAGCAGGAUGGAAAUGGUCAACAAAGCAAAGAAGGCGAAAACCACAAAGAGGACUACAGAUCCCACAUAGCCCUGCCACUUCAGGGCAAUACGCAUCACCAUCACCCACAACACCUCUGACAGCUCUGUGGAGACACAAGUAACUCACCGUCAGACAUUCGGCAGUGCUUGGAAAAAAUAUAUCAUACUAUUCUUUUUCCAGCCAGUUAUUCAAACACACGAGUGUGUUUGACUUUAGAGAGGAAGUCUGUCUGUGUGUGUGUCACACACAGAGGAUGAUGGUGUAAAUUAUGUUUGUGUGUGUAAGUAUGUGUGCCACUAACGUGCAUGUGCCAAACUGAGAGCCCAGAGUCGGAGGUAAGAGGCGGUGUUGGAGAUGCAGCCCAAGCAGUACUCUAUGGUGUGGAUGGCCUGAUGCAUGAACACGUCAGCGGCAUCAAACUCCUGCAGACAGCACAGUUUAAUCACAAGAAUUCCAAAAGUACAUCUCUGACUGGCUUUAAUCUGUUACUUGGGCUUCUCCCUUACCUCCUCUUCAGCAGCUCCGCCCUCCACCUCCCCUUGAUGCGUGUUGACGGAGCUGUCGUCAGCCACCAGCGGACGUCUGUCUUCCUCCUGAUGUUGCAGAGAACCAGAAAUCGGUCAGAAAAUACAUCCAACUCUAGAAAAAGGUUCAAAAAGUUUGGUGAAACACACUCACCACUUGACGUCGUCUUUUCUUGAAUGUGAUGUAUUCAUGCGUGGGUUUCCCCAGCAAGAGGACCGGGACAGAACACAGGGCCAGCACCACCAGGAUCUUCUGCACCACAAUCUACACAUGAAGAGUUACAGGACCAGCUGUUAAGCAACACAUGCUCACUUUAGCAAGCUAUUUUGAAGGAUAAUACUGGUGUUAUUGUUCCAAAGCAUGCCAUAGUUUGAGGGUUUAAGUGCUUUUUAUUUCUACCUUCCAGAUGUUCAUUUGUUUCAGUUCAUAUUAAUACGGUAGGAAAACGAGCUUGCAGAGAAACAAGCUCAAGACUGAUAUUCCUCACAGAGCAUUUCAUUGUCCUUUUGUCAUAUUACAUUAUUGUUAAAAAAAUUGAGCAACAAUUACAUUAUCGUUUUCUUGUUAAUGUAGUUAAAACAAUUAAUGCUUUAAGUAUUCUAUUGGUGUGUUCAUGCGUUUGUGGGAAACCUCGACAUCUGAAGUUUGAGAGUAAUCUGCCAAACAGCAUUGCAUUCACAAGCUAUAUUGUCAGAAAAUAAAACGCAGAGGACACAAGCAAACACUGGGGGAAAAAGUGAAAUAUGGUAACUUUAUGCAUAAACAGUUGCUGACUACCUGGAUUUAAAAAAAAUAAUCAGUUUUACCUCCAGUACCCAGGAACAAUUAAACAACCUUGACAUAAGAUAAUGCAGACUAAAUGUGUUCCAUGUCUCAAGCAGGUUUCAUGUGAUUUUCAUACUGUACUAACAAAAUAAUAAAACCAGUGGCUUCCACAAACGCA